CAUAUCAAUAAGCGGAGGAAAAGAAACCAACAGGGAUUGCCCCAGUAACGGCGAGUGAAGCGGCAACAGCUCAAAUUUGAAAUCUGGCCCCAGGCCCGAGUUGUAAUUUGCAGAGGAUGCUUUUGGCGCGGUGCCUUCCGAGUUCCCUGGAACGGGACGCCAUAGAGGGUGAGAGCCCCGUACGGUUGGACACCAAGCCUUUGUAAAGCUCCUUCGACGAGUCGAGUAGUUUGGGAAUGCUGCUCUAAAUGGGAGGUACAUUUCUUCUAAAGCUAAAUAUUGGCCAGAGACCGAUAGCGCACAAGUAGAGUGAUCGAAAGAUGAAAAGCACUUUGGAAAGAGGGUUAAACAGCACGUGAAAUUGUUAAAAGGGAAGCGCUUGUGACCAGACUUGCGUCCGGUGAAUCACCCAGCUCUCGCGGCUGGGGCACUUCGCCGGCACAGGCCAGCAUCAGCUUGCCGUCGGGGACAAAAGCUUCAGGAACGUGGCUCCUCUCGGGGAGUGUUAUAGCCUGUUGCAUAAUACCCUUCGGCGGGCUGAGGUACGCGCUCCGCAAGGAUGCUGGCGUAAUGGUCAUCAGCGACCCGUCUUGAAACACGGACCAAGGAGUCAACCUUAUGUGCGAGUGUUUGGGUGUUAAACCCCUACGCGUAAUGAAAGUGAACGCAGGUGAGAGCUUCGGCGCAUCAUCGACCGAUCCUGACGUUCUCGGAUGGAUUUGAGUAAGAGCAUAUAGGGUUGGACCCGAAAGAAGGUGAACUAUGCGUGUGUAGGGUGAAGCCAGAGGAAACUCUGGUGGAGGCUCGCAGCGGUUCUGACGUGCAAAUCGAUCGUCAAACAUGCGCAUGGGGGCGAAAGACUAAUCGAACCUUCUAGUAGCUGGUUCCGC
This 890-nucleotide ribosomal RNA is filed under the name Colletotrichum lupini. RNAcentral's name for it is "LSU rRNA". It matches the Rfam family "Eukaryotic large subunit ribosomal RNA", at positions 39 to 960 of the family's 3401-position model. The record is from RNAcentral. Lineage: Eukaryota; Fungi; Ascomycota; Sordariomycetes; Glomerellales; Glomerellaceae.